UACAGAGGGUGCAAGCGUUAAUCGGAAUGACUGGGCGUAAAGGGCACGUAGGCGGAUAGAUGUGUCAUAGGUGAAAUCCCCGGGCUCAACCUGGGAACUGCCUGUGAAACUGUGUAUCUAGAAUAGAGUAGAGGUAAGUGGAAUUUCCGGUGUAGCGGUGAAAUGCGUAGAUAUCGGAAAGAACACCAGUGGCGAAGGCGACUUACUGGACUCAUAUUGACGCUGAGGUGCGAAAGCGUGGGGAGCAAAC
RNAcentral lists this ribosomal RNA (250 nucleotides) under uncultured bacterium. Its description in RNAcentral is "partial 16S ribosomal RNA". It matches the Rfam family "Bacterial small subunit ribosomal RNA", at positions 524 to 773 of the family's 1533-position model. The record is from RNAcentral.